CCUACGGGAGGCUGCAGUGGGGAAUAUUCGACAAUGGGGGAAACCCUGAUCGAGCGACACCGCGUUUGGGAUGAAGGUCUUAGGAUUGUAAACCAAUUUUAUAGGGGAAGAACUUUUGUGACUGUACCCUAAGAAUAAGAGGUUGCCAACUCUGUGCCAGCAGCAGCGGUAAUACAGAGACCUCAAGCGUUAUCCGGAUUUACUGGGCGUAAAGCAUGCGUAGGCGGUUGUAGAAGUCUUUAGUUAAAUUUCCAGAGCUUAACUUUGGAACUGCUAAAGAAACCAUACAACUAGAAGAUACUAGGGGCUGAUGGAACCAUCGGUGUAGGGGUGAAAUCCGUUGAUAUCGAUGGGAACACCAAAAGCGAAGGCAGUCAGCUAGGGUAAUCUUGACGCUGAGGCAUGAAAGCGUGGGGAGCAAACAGGAUUAGAUACCCCUGUAGUC
This 445-nucleotide ribosomal RNA is filed under the name uncultured bacterium. Its description in RNAcentral is "bacterial SSU rRNA". It matches the Rfam family "Bacterial small subunit ribosomal RNA", at positions 338 to 795 of the family's 1533-position model. The record is from RNAcentral.